Molecule: ribosomal RNA, 425 nt
Filed under: uncultured bacterium
Lineage: Bacteria
Description: partial 16S ribosomal RNA
Rfam family: Bacterial small subunit ribosomal RNA
Source: RNAcentral
UGGGGAAUAUUGGACAAUGGGGGCAACCCUGAUCCAGCAAUGCCGCGUGUGUGAAGAAGGUUUUCGGAUUGUAAAGCACUUUCGACGGGGACGAUGAUGACGGUACCCGUAGAAGAAGCCCCGGCUAACUUCGUGCCAGCAGCCGCGGUAAUACGAAGGGGGCUAGCGUUGCUCGGAAUGACUGGGCGUAAAGGGCGUGUAGGCGGUUUGUACAGUCAGAUGUGAAAUCCCCGGGCUUAACCUGGGAGCUGCAUUUGAUACGUGCAGACUAGAGUGUGAGAGAGGGUUGUGGAAUUCCCAGUGUAGAGGUGAAAUUCGUAGAUAUUGGGAAGAACACCGGUGGCGAAGGCGGCAACCUGGCUCAUAACUGACGCUGAGGCGCGAAAGCGUGGGGGAGCAAACAGGAUUAGAUACCCUGGUAGUCC